Long non-coding RNA from Acinonyx jubatus (cheetah), 2287 nucleotides. RefSeq lists it as uncharacterized. The record is from RefSeq and is a predicted model, not a curated record. The transcript has 3 exons. Lineage: Eukaryota; Metazoa; Chordata; Mammalia; Carnivora; Felidae.
AAUAAUAAUAAUAAUAAUAAUAAUAAAAGAUGUCCAGAGUGGACACUGACUCCAUUCAGUGAGUCGAGUUGCAGGUACCUAACAAAUUAGGUGCCAAGAGGAAUUCUCCUAUGCCGUUCCCCGCAGGCUCCCCAGCAACACAGACUGCAUGACCUCAGUGAGCUGCCUACCGUGUCUGUCACCUGUUGAGAGCUGGAGGACCCCAAAGGGUUAUGUCCUAACCGGGUAUCCAAAAUACGGUCCCCCAAGUUGGGUCCCCUUCUUGGUAGGUGUGAAGCACAGAGACACAACCAAGCCAAAGAGUGGGAAAAGGAAGGGUUUUACUUGCAAAAGUUGGGAGGACACCGGGGACGUGUCCCAAAGCACUAUGGCUCCAGAACAGUGGACGUUUUAAGCUAAGGGUGCAUGCAUAUUCACGAGAAGGAAUUCAGCAUAGAACUGGGCCCAAGUCACCCUAAGCUGACAGGUCCUAGUUGACUGAAGACACGUGGGACAGAAAGGUCAGCAGCAUCAAAGAGGGCCACUUAUGUCCCAUUAGAGUCCCGGGGAGGCCUGGGACAGCUGUGCUCCAUCAGGAAUUUUCUGCACCAAGAAGCCAGCAGACCAGGAGCGGUCCGGGCCAGACGCCAGCCCUGCUGAGGCCGAGGGCUCCCAGCCACAAGCUUUGGGAAUUGGCUGAGCUUGUUUUUUUUUGGGGGGGGGGGGGGGCGGCGGGGGGGCACAGAGAGGAAGCCUCUAUGGGUCUUGCAAAAAGCUGGGGCCGGGUUAACAUUCGGUGUCAGCUAGAAAGCUAAGCUUUCCUCUGUGGGGUAAUAUGCUGUGGUCCCCUCCUGGGGGUGAUGCCCUCUCCUCAGAGCCCCCCAGCCCGCAUUCCCUGAGCCAUGCAACUUCAGACCAGAAGAGUAGCAGAUCCCAUUCAGCUCCUGGGAAACUCCUGCCUCUUUCCACCUAUUCAAAACAGUUCCUGUUUACCAAGUGCCAAGUGUUUGGCCUUCAUUUUAUUUAUUUAUUUGUUUGUUUGUUUGUUUUAUUAUUUGUUUUUGAGAGAGAGACAGAGGGUACAAGUGAGUGAGAGGCAGAGAGAGAGAGAGAGAGAGAGAAUCAGGGUCACCCAAAACGGGGCUGGAGCUCACAAACCAUGAGAUCAUGACCUGAGCUGAAGUCAGAUGCUUAACAGACUGAGCCACCCAGGUGCCCUGGCCUUCAUUUUGUUGAAUCUCCCCAGAAAUUCUCUGAGGUUCGUGUUAUCUCAUUUUACGUACGUACGAAGUGAGGUUUGAGGGGUAAAUGACUUGCCAGCUAGUGAAUGACGAGAUUAGAGCCUGGGUGGCUCCGACCUGCUUCUGCCCUCACACGGGGGCGGGCACUAUAUUUAACAUAUCAGUCCUAUCUGUAGAGGCAAGUUUUGAGACUGCCAUUCUUAUUUUUUUAAUGUUUAUUUUUGAGAGAGAGAGAGAGAGCGCGCAUGCGUGUGCAAGUGGGGGAAGGGCAGAGAGAGAGGGAGACACAGAAUCCGAAACAGGCUCCAGGCUCUGAGCUGUCAGCACAGAGCCUGACGCGGGGCUCGAACCCACAAGCUGUGAGAUCAUGACCUGAGCCGACGUCGGAUGCCCAACUGACUGAGCCACCCAGGUGCCCCCUGCCAUUAUUUUUAAGUGAAUUUGGUCAUUCAAGUGUCCGUUUUUAUUUAUUAUCAUUUUUUAUGUUUAUUUAUUUAUUUUGAGAGAGAGAAAGCACAUGCAAGCUGGGGAGGAGCAGAGAGAGAGGGAAAGAGAAUCCCAAGCAGGCUCCGUGCUGUCAUUGUGGAACCUGAUGUGGGGCUCCAUUCCAAAAACCACGAGAUCAUGACCUGAGCUGAAACCAAAAGUCGGACAUUCAACCAAGUGAGCCACCCAGGUGCCUCCUGGGCCCUGUCCUUCUGCAGGCAGGACCCAGAAUCAAAAAGGCUGAAGAGAGUGAGGAGCAAGAUGAGGGAGACCAGAAGAGGGGCGACUCUUUGAUUCAGCACCAGAAGGAGAAGGGAAGGAGAUAGCAUGUUGGCAGUUGCCCAAAACACGGGUCUGAAAAACCAGGACGGCGGUUUCCAGGACCAUCCAUUUUCAGCAUUUUGAGCAGGCUAGCUUUGACCCUUAGUACACGGUUCCCGGAUGCUCUUUGAGGCACAUGUCUGUCCUUUCAAAGGAUCUGUGUCUUUCUCACCGACUGCUACCCCUGCUUUGGAGCCACUGGGAUGAAACGAAGGUCAAGUUCUGCUCUUGCUGUACCGUCUGGCGGCUGGGACUAUGAA